CCCACCCCCCCCCCUUUCCCCCCUCCCUCCCCUCCUUGCCCCCGCGCCCACCAGACUUGCCCUCCAAUAUAUAUCCCCUGCUAAGCUCUGCCCCCCCCCCCCCCGCGGCACCCCCCAUUUCCAACAGCGUAUAUUAAAGUUGUUGCAGUUCCCCCCCCCCCCCAGCCCCCCCUUGGGUUUGGAGGGCGGUCCACCCCCCGGUGAGUACUUCCAUAUCCAAGACCUUUCCUCUGCUUCCUCGCAAGAGGCAGCAGAAUAUUACUUUGAGUAAAUGAGAGUGUUCAAAGCAGGCGCACGCUUGAAUCUGUUAGCAUGGAAUAAUAGAAUAGGACGCAUGGUUCUAUUUUGUUGCUUUCUAGGACCAUCGUAAUGAUUAAUAGGGACGGUCGGGGGCAUCAGUAUUCAGUUGUCAGAGGUGAAAUUCUUGGAUUUACUGAAGACUAACUACUGCGAAAGCAUUUGCCAAGGACGUUUUCAUUAAUCAAGAACGAAAGUUAGGGGCUCGAAGAUGAUCUAGUUGUGGUUGGAAUUUAUAUGGCGG
Molecule: ribosomal RNA, 541 nt
Filed under: Candidozyma auris
Lineage: Eukaryota; Fungi; Ascomycota; Pichiomycetes; Serinales; Metschnikowiaceae
Description: [Candida] auris partial small subunit ribosomal RNA
Rfam family: Eukaryotic small subunit ribosomal RNA
Source: RNAcentral